AAGGACCUAAUAAUUUAGAAGAUUUGAUUUAAUGAUUUGAGAAUAAGAGAAGAGAUUGACCUGCGAGUCAUAAAUCCUCCCAUUGACUUCAUCCAGUUAUAAAGAGGACUUGAUACAAGCUGGUCUAGAGACACCUAAAUCAGUCACACUGAUUUACUUUAAUGGCAUGGGUCAGCUCGAAUCAAUCAAUGACCUAAUCAAAAUAUGAUCUACCAAAUUGGCCAAAUAAGUG
This 232-nucleotide long non-coding RNA is filed under the name Elaeis guineensis (African oil palm). RNAcentral describes it as "long non-coding RNA (EGUI_LNC010025)". The record is from RNAcentral. Lineage: Eukaryota; Viridiplantae; Streptophyta; Magnoliopsida; Arecales; Arecaceae.